Molecule: long non-coding RNA, 1525 nt
Organism: Mangifera indica (mango)
Lineage: Eukaryota; Viridiplantae; Streptophyta; Magnoliopsida; Sapindales; Anacardiaceae
Exons: 3
Source: RefSeq, a predicted model, not a curated record
GAAAGAAACAAAGAGGACCUGAGAUACCAGCUUGCCAGAAAUGUGGGAAGCACCAUAGAGGAAAGUGUUUGACAGGUCAGGCAGUUUGUUUCAGAUGUCGUCAGCCUGGACAUAUUGCUCGUUUCUGUACAGCUACCCCAAUGAGAGUAGAGCAACAACAACCUAUAGGAGGGGCCACAGCCAGCGUUUAUACGAUCACCCAAGGCCCAGCAGAGGCUAACCCAUCAGCAGUCACAGGACUUAUGAGUCAAACACCAGUAGAUCCCUCUCAGAGGAACCAGAAUGAAGGAGUAGCCCCCCAGGUACCCCAGGGGUACUUAGUGCACAUGAUGUGCGAGAGAUUUUCAGAGAGAUGAUGAAAGAGCAUAAAGGUGCUCCUACACAAGGAAGUGAGACGGCGCAUAUGCUGCCAAUCCAGGGACAUGAUAUGAGAGAGGUUACUUUAGCAUCUACAGCAGCCCCAGUGAGGACUCAGUUGCAUCCUAUUUUCAACCUCCCUAGUAUGCACCAACCUCAAAUAUUUGAUGGUGCAAGGGACCCAAUAGCAGCUGAAGAGUGGUUGGAAUCAGUAGAGAGUGUCAUGGCCUUGUUUGACAUGACUGACCAAGAAAGAGUGAGAUAUGCCACUUAUCUUUUCAAGUCAGGGGCAAGAAUAUGGUGGAACUUAGUCAGGGAGACGGUCAAUGUCUUAGAGAUGACAUGGACAGAGUUUAGGCGCCGAUUCGAGGCAGAGUACAGGGGUGCCGAUGUUACUUGUAUCAGGGCCUAGGAGUUUAUCAGUCUAGUGCAAGGGACAGACUCUGUAAAAGAAUAUUCCACAAAGUUUAAUCAAUUGUCCCAGUAUGCCCCUGAGAUAGCUAGCACAGAAAUGGGGUGUAUGUAGAAGUUUGUGUACGGGUUGGAUCCAGAGAUAGCUCGAGAUGUUAUGACCGGGACGCAGCCACCUAGAACUUAUGCAGAGGCCCUUGAUAGAGCUUUGAGGGCAGAGGUUUUUGUCAGGAGGAGAUUUGGUCAGACUACAGGGCAAAAGGUUACACCUCUUACUACUAUGCCAGCUCCCCCGGUGAGCAGUGAUUCAGCUUCAGCACAAAGAGGCCCUCCGCUAGAGCGAGACAGGAAAGGUAAACGACCUCUCCAGUUUAGAGGCAUGAAAAAGAACUGGAAGAGUGGAAAGAAAUAAAGAGGACCUAAGAUACCAGCUUGCCAGAAAUGUGGGAAGCACCAUAGAGGAGAGUGUUUAAUAGGUCAGGCAGUUUGUUUCAGAUGUCGUCAGCCUGGACAUAUUGCUCGUUUCUGUACAGCUGCCCCAGUGAGAGUAGAGCAGCAGCAGCCUAUAAGAGGGGCCACAGCCAGAGUUUAUACGAUCACCCAGGGCCCAGUAGAGGCUAACCCAUCAGCAGUCACGGGUACAGGUGAUCGAGGUAGCUGCGAGGCAGGGUCAGGUCAGCGUAGGUAGAUCCGGCUGGAGCAGGUUAUCUCUGGUUUAUAUUACAUGCAUACAGUAGCAUGUUCUUAUCGACUUUUG